RNAcentral lists this ribosomal RNA (116 nucleotides) under Colossoma macropomum (tambaqui). RNAcentral describes it as "partial 12S ribosomal RNA". Lineage: Eukaryota; Metazoa; Chordata; Actinopteri; Characiformes; Serrasalmidae. The record is from RNAcentral.
CUAUAUACCGCCGUCGCAAGCUUACCCUGUGAAGGAUCUACAGUAAGCGAAAUGGGUAGACCCCAGAACGUCAGGUCGAGGUGUAGCUCACGGGAUGGAAAGAAAUGGGCUACAUU